Molecule: non-coding RNA, 343 nt
Organism: Punica granatum (pomegranate)
Lineage: Eukaryota; Viridiplantae; Streptophyta; Magnoliopsida; Myrtales; Lythraceae
Source: RefSeq, a predicted model, not a curated record
CUCUGCUCUCUCUUGUUUCUCUCUCCUCUGUGCGCCAUUAACAAUGGAGAUCGACUAAUUAAGAAUUGAUUAACGAUCGGGACGAAGACGAAGAUCAAGAUGUCAGAUGGCCCCUGUAAUCUGCGAGGAAAGCCAAGAACAUCUCAUAGCGUGGUCGAGUAGGAGUUCGAUGAAUACUUGAUCUAUUGACGGAUUAGCACAUGCUUUUCACUAUGAUUGAUCAUAAAGUAUCACAUAUUAGUUCUUAUACGUAAAACUAGGGUAAUAUGUAUUAUAACAAGUAUGUCUGUUCGAGAGUGGCAUGUUAUACACUAGCGAUGUUAUUUUACCAUUAUUUUACAUA